UGGUGUUUUUUUCAAUGGAAUUUUUUGGGUAUUUGAUCAAACAUAUAACUAUGUUAACUUCUUCAAUUUCUUAAACAUUUUAAGUGGUAAGCUGUUGUUGAUUCAGAAAUACAUGCCGCCGCUCGCAAAAUUUCAAACUGCAUUAUCUCUAAAACGACAUAAGAUAUCUCAAAUCUGUUAAAUGAUAAAUGAUCUACAGUUAAAGGAC
Molecule: long non-coding RNA, 208 nt
Filed under: Mytilus galloprovincialis (Mediterranean mussel)
Lineage: Eukaryota; Metazoa; Mollusca; Bivalvia; Mytilida; Mytilidae
Source: RNAcentral